GGAAGUACAGCUCAGUGGUAGAGCGUUCGACUGGGGAUCGAGAGGUCCCCGGUUCGAAUCCGUGUUUUUCUA
Molecule: transfer RNA, 72 nt
Filed under: Diabrotica virgifera virgifera (western corn rootworm)
Lineage: Eukaryota; Metazoa; Arthropoda; Insecta; Coleoptera; Chrysomelidae
Description: transfer RNA proline (anticodon GGG)
Rfam family: tRNA
About the family: Transfer RNA (tRNA) molecules are approximately 80 nucleotides in length. Their secondary structure includes four short double-helical elements and three loops (D, anti-codon, and T loops).
Source: Rfam by way of RNAcentral